GACGAACGCUGGCGGCGUGCUUAACACAUGCAAGUCGAACGAAAAGAGGGGAAGAGCUUGCUCUUUUCAGAAUUGAGUGGCAAACGGGUGAGUAACACGUAAACAACCUGCCUUCAGGAUGGGGACAACAGACGGAAACGACUGCUAAUACCGAAUAAGCGCACAGCUUCGCAUGAAGCAGUGUGAAAAACUCCGGUGGUACAAGAUGGACCCGCGUCUGAUUAGCUAGUUGGUGAGGUAACGGCCCACCAAGGCGACGAUCAGUAGCCGGACUGAGAGGUUGAACGGCCACAUUGGGACUGAGAUACGGCCCAGACUCCUACGGGAGGCAGCAGUGGGGAAUAUUGCACAAUGGGGGAAACCCUGAUGCAGCGACGCCGCGUGGAGGAAGAAGGUCUUCGGAUUGUAAACUCCUGUUGUUGAGGAAGAUAAUGACGGUACUCAACAAGGAAGUGACGGCUAACUACGUGCCAGCAGCCGCGGUAAAGUCAGAGUGAC
Molecule: ribosomal RNA, 498 nt
Filed under: uncultured bacterium
Lineage: Bacteria
Description: bacterial SSU rRNA
Rfam family: Bacterial small subunit ribosomal RNA
Source: RNAcentral